UCUUCGUUAAGUAGCCAUCUUUUAAUGUUUCCAUUAAUUCAUGUGAUUUUUUUUUUUUUUUUUAAGUAGUAAAAUCAAAAGAAAAUAGAUACCCAUUAGAAACUGCACAAAGACAUGGCUACCUCAGGUCUGCUUAUUUAGGUGGACUGAAAACUGGGAAUGGAGAGGGCAGGUAUGACGAGGUAGAAGAAGAGAAACUGCUAGGCCAAGAAGGUUUUCACCACAAAAAUGACUGCUGAGUUCAUCCAAGCACCUGCUGAGUUAAAGUCAGUCACUUGUUCAAAUACCAAAGAAACAUCUCAUCAGACCAGUACUAAGCACUCAGCACAGUUUGCUAUUAAGGGAUUUUAUCUCUUGCAGAAGUAUCCAAUAAAACAAAGUGAAAUUGAA
This is a long non-coding RNA of Vidua macroura (Pin-tailed whydah), 390 nucleotides long. RefSeq lists it as uncharacterized. Lineage: Eukaryota; Metazoa; Chordata; Aves; Passeriformes; Viduidae. The record is from RefSeq and is a predicted model, not a curated record. The transcript is spliced from 3 exons.